RNAcentral lists this ribosomal RNA (277 nucleotides) under Amycolatopsis regifaucium. RNAcentral describes it as "23S rRNA. Bacterial LSU". It matches the Rfam family "Bacterial large subunit ribosomal RNA", at positions 2651 to 2925 of the family's 2925-position model. Lineage: Bacteria; Bacillati; Actinomycetota; Actinomycetes; Pseudonocardiales; Pseudonocardiaceae. The record is from RNAcentral.
GCGUAGGAUACUUGAGGAAGGCUGUCCCUAGUACGAGAGGACCGGGACGGACGAACCUCUGGUAUGCCAGUUGUCACGCCAGUGGCAUGGCUGGUUGGCCACGUUCGGAAGGGAUAACCGCUGAAGGCAUCUAAGCGGGAAGCCUGUUCCAAGAUGAGGUAUCCCACCCCUUGUGGGUUAAGGCCCCCAACAGACCAUUGGGUUGAUAGGCCAGAAAUGGAAGCACAGUAAUGUGUUGUCGAGUUGACUGGUACUAAUAGGCCGAGGACUUGCCCAC